GCGUCGUAUGAAAGAUCGCUGUCGCAGCACACACACAGAAAGCAUUUAGCUUUCACAUUCUCGCUGUGGGGAAAGUCCCCGGAGACACAGAGUGCCACCUUCUUACCCGGAACGGAAAGCGCCCAGCUUCAAAUUUGCUGAGGGGGGUGAGAUAGGUCGGGCGAAGCCGAUUUUACUGGGCCUCACUUGCAUGGGGCCAGUUCCGUUUGCCCACUCUGUCGCUAGCUUGAAGUUGGGCGGCUCUAUCACGGGCGUAUUCAUGCGAAGAUAUGAGCAUGUUUCCGCUUGGGCUGUUCGAUGAAUGGCUAGCUCUUCGUUGCUCAUAGAUAUAGUGAUGCGAUCGUUGGUGUUUGCCCUUCUGGCCGCCUUCAACUCAAUGGGGCUUAAUCUCAUCCGACG
This 399-nucleotide RNase MRP RNA is filed under the name Paxillus rubicundulus Ve08.2h10. RNAcentral describes it as "RNase MRP". It matches the Rfam family "RNase MRP". From Rfam's summary of the family: RNase MRP is an enzymatically active ribonucleoprotein with two distinct roles in eukaryotes. In mitochondria it plays a direct role in the initiation of mitochondrial DNA replication. Lineage: Eukaryota; Fungi; Basidiomycota; Agaricomycetes; Boletales; Paxillaceae. The record is from Rfam by way of RNAcentral.